UACGUAGGGCGCGAGCGUUGUCCGGAAUCAUUGGGCGUAAAGAGCUCGUAGGCGGCCGGUUGCGUCUGCUGUGAAAUCCCGGGGCUUAACCCCGGGCGUGCAGUGGAUACGGGCUGGCUGGAGGCAGGCAGGGGAGAAUGGAAUUCCCGGUGUAGCGGUGAAAUGCGUAGAUAUUGGGAGGAACACCGGUGGCGAAGGCGGCCCCCUGGACCGGUACUGACGCUGAGGCGCGAAAGCGUGGGUAGCAAACGGG
RNAcentral lists this ribosomal RNA (253 nucleotides) under uncultured bacterium. Its description in RNAcentral is "partial 16S ribosomal RNA". It matches the Rfam family "Bacterial small subunit ribosomal RNA", at positions 524 to 776 of the family's 1533-position model. The record is from RNAcentral.